This 506-nucleotide ribosomal RNA is filed under the name uncultured bacterium. RNAcentral's name for it is "partial 16S ribosomal RNA". It matches the Rfam family "Bacterial small subunit ribosomal RNA", at positions 29 to 523 of the family's 1533-position model. The record is from RNAcentral.
AGUGAACGCUGGCGGUAGGCCUAACACAUGCAAGUCGAACGGCAGCACAGGAGAGCUUGCUCUCUGGGUGGCGAGUGGCGGACGGGUGAGGAAUACAUCGGAAUCUACUCUGUCGUGGGGGAUAACGUAGGGAAACUUACGCUAAUACCGCAUACGACCUACGGGUGAAAGCAGGGGACCUUCGGGCCUUGCGCGAUUGAAUGAGCCGAUGUCGGAUUAGCUAGUUGGCGGGGUAAAGGCCCACCAAGGCGACGAUCCGUAGCUGGUCUGAGAGGAUGAUCAGCCACACUGGAACUGAGACACGGUCCAGACUCCUACGGGAGGCAGCAGUGGGGAAUAUUGGACAAUGGGCGCAGGCCUAAUCCAGCCAUACCGCGUGGGUGAAGAAGGCCUUCGGGUUGUAAAGCCCUUUUGUUGGGAAAGAAAUCCAGCUGGCUAAUACCCGGUUGGGAUGACGGUACCCAAAGAAUAAGCACCGGCUAACUUCGUGCCAGCCGCCGCAGUAA